RNAcentral lists this ribosomal RNA (513 nucleotides) under uncultured bacterium. RNAcentral describes it as "bacterial SSU rRNA". It matches the Rfam family "Bacterial small subunit ribosomal RNA", at positions 28 to 534 of the family's 1533-position model. The record is from RNAcentral.
GAUGAACGCUAGCGGGAGGCUUAACACAUGCAAGUCGAGGGGCAGCAUAGGGUAGCAAUACUCUGAUGGCGACCGGCAAACGGGUGAGUAACGCGUAUGCAACCUACCCUGUACAGGGGGAUAACCCGGAGAAAUUCGGACUAAUAUCCCGUAAUAAUAUCCGGAGGCAUCUUUGGAUAUUUAAAGUUCCGACGGUACGGGAUGGGCAUGCGUAACAUUAGCUGGUUGGUAAGGUAACGGCUUACCAAGGCUAUGAUGUUUAGGGGUCCUGAGAGGGUGGUCCCCCACACUGGUACUGAGACACGGACCAGACUCCUACGGGAGGCAGCAGUGAGGAAUAUUGGUCAAUGGGCGCAAGCCUGAACCAGCCAUCCCGCGUGCAGGAAGACGGCCCUAUGGGUUGUAAACUGCUUUUCCAGGAGAGAAACUUACGCACGUGUUGCGUGACUGACGGUACCCUGGGAAUAAGCAUCGGCUAACUCCGUGCCAGCAGCCGCGGUAAAACGUGACGUG